AUGUAAUGCCUACAACGUUAAUGCAUUGGAUCUCAUUAGAACUCCAUAGUUAAGUACGCUUGGGAUAGAGUAGUACUAGGAAGGGUGACCUCGCGGGAAGUCCUAGUGUUUUACAUG
Molecule: non-coding RNA, 117 nt
Organism: Picea glauca (white spruce)
Lineage: Eukaryota; Viridiplantae; Streptophyta; Pinopsida; Pinales; Pinaceae
Source: Rfam